UAAAUCCAUUUUUUAAAUCAAUUGAUCAUCGAUGAUCAUACGAAUAUCCUGAAUUUAACAAUAUUGAAUUUGAUUCCUGUAUAUUAAAUUACUUUUUAAAGAAAUUUAAAUCAAUUCCGAUUAUUAGAAACUGAUGAUCGAGUAAUUAUUCCAAUAAGAAUUCCUUUACGAUUAAUUACUUCAUCAACAGAUGUAAAUCAUGAACUGUUCCAUCUUUAGGAAUUAAACUUGAUGAACACUUCCAGGACGAAUUAAUCAAGUUUAAUUAGAAAACGACCAGCAAUUUUCUUUGAACAAUGUUCAGAAAUCUGUGGAAUAAAUCAUAGAUUUAUACUAAUUAUAGUUGCAUCGAU
Molecule: long non-coding RNA, 353 nt
Filed under: Apis dorsata (giant honeybee)
Lineage: Eukaryota; Metazoa; Arthropoda; Insecta; Hymenoptera; Apidae
Description: uncharacterized LOC102676259, transcript variant X2
Source: RNAcentral